UUAAGAGUUUGAUCCUAGCUCAGGAUGAACGCUGGCGGCGUGGAUAAGGCAUGCAAGUCGUGUGGGUUUAGACCCACGGCAAACGGGGUAGUAACACGUAGGUACUUCCCCCGAAGUUAGGCAUAACUAGUCGAAAGAUUAGAUAAUACCUAAUAGUUCUCGCAAGAGUAAAGGUGUGGCGCAAGCCAUACUGCUUCGGGAAAGGCCUGCGGGCUAUCAGCUAGUUGGUGAGGUAACGGCUCACCAAGGCUAUGACGGCUAGGGGGUGUGAGAGCAUGGCCCCCACCAAUGGGACUGAGACACGGCCCAUACACCUACGGGUGGCUGCAGUCGAGAAUAUUGCACAAUGCGCGAAAGCGUGAUGCAGCGACGCCGCGUGCAGGAUGAAGGCCUUCGGGCUGUAAACUGCUUUUAUGGAGGAGGAACUUUGACGUUACUCCAUGAAUAAGGGCUUGCUAACCUCGUGCCAGCAGCCGCGGUAAUACGAGGGGCCCAAGCGUUAUCCGGAAUCACUGGGCGUAAAGGGUUCGUAGGGGGUUAUAUUAGUCCUGUGUUAAAGCCUUCGGCUUAACCGAAGAAAUGCAUGGGAAACGGUAUAACUAGAGGAUGUGAGAGGCUGAUGGAACUCACGGUGUAGGGGUGAAAUCCGUUGAUAUCGUGGGGAACACCAAAUGCGAAGGCAAUCAGCUGGCGCAUUCCUGACCCUGAGGAACGAAAGUGUGGGUAUCGAAAAGGAUUAGAUACCCUUGUAGUCCACACCCUAAACGAUGAUAACUAGCUAUUGGAAGUAUCGACCCUUCCAGUGGCGUAGCUAACGCGUUAAGUUAUCCGCCUGGGAAUUACGAUCGCAAGAUUAAAACUCAAAGGAAUAGACGGGGACUCGCACAAGCGGUGGAGCAUGUGGUUUAAUUCGAUGACAAGCGAAAAACCUUACCAGGGCUAGAAAUUCUAGUGAAGUCACCCCGAAAGGGAUGAUGUCUCACAAGGACACUAGGACAGGUGCUGCAUGGUUGUCGUCAGUUCGUGGUUUGAACUGUUCCCUUAAGUGGGUCAACGAACGCAACCCCCAUUGUCUGUUAUACAUGUCAGACGAGACUGCCCCUCACCAAGCGCGUUUGCAAAUGGCAAACGAGCAAUAGUUAAAUAUUUAAACUUUUUUAUAUUUAAAUAUAAGCGCGUAAGCGCGUUUGGUGAGGGGAGGAAGGUGGGGAUGACGCCAAAUCAGCAUGGCCCUCGACGCCCUGGGCUACACACAUGCUACAAUGGCACGCACAAAGGGCCGCGAAGGGGUAACCCGGAGCAAAUCCCGCCAAAGUGUGCCUUAGUUCGGAUUGAGGUCUGCAACUUGACCUCAUGAAGCUGGAAUCGCUAGUAAUCGCAGAUCAGCACGCUGCGGUGAAUACGUUCUCGAGUCUUGUACUCACCGCCCGUCACGUCAAGGAAGUCGGGAGCACCCGAAGUUCGCGCUCGUCGCGGCCGAAGGUGAAUUCGAUAACAGGGACGAAGUCGUAACAAGGCACGGCUAGCGGAAGCUGGUCGUGGAUCA
RNAcentral lists this ribosomal RNA (1546 nucleotides) under Candidatus Niyogibacteria bacterium CG10_big_fil_rev_8_21_14_0_10_46_36. RNAcentral's name for it is "bacterial SSU rRNA". It matches the Rfam family "Bacterial small subunit ribosomal RNA". Lineage: Bacteria; Candidatus Niyogiibacteriota. The record is from RNAcentral.